AUGCUUCCAGGAAAAGCCUCUAAGCUUCAGAUUGUAAGGAAUCGUACCCCAAACCGACACAGGUGGUCGGGUAGAGAAUACCAAGGCGCUUGAGAGAACUCGGGUGAAGGAACUAGGCAAAAUGGUACCGUAACUUCGGGAGAAGGUACGCUCUUGAUGGUGAAGUCCCUCGCGGAUGGAGCUGACGAGAGUCGCAGAUACCAGGUGGCUGCAACUGUUUAUUAAAAACACAGCACUGUGCAAAAUCGUAAGAUGACGUAUACGGUGUGACGCCUGCCCGGUGCCGGAAGGUUAAUUGAUGGGGUUAGACUUCGGUCGAAGCUCUUGAUCGAAGCCCCGGUAAACGGCGGCCGUAACUAUAACGGUCCUAAGGUAGCGAAAUUCCUUGUCGGGUAAGUUCCGACCUGCACGAAUGGCGUAAUGAUGGCCACGCUGUCUCCACCCGAGACUCAGUGAAAUUGAAAUCGCUGUGAAGAUGCAGUGUACCCGCGGCUAGACGGAAAGACCCCGUGAACCUUUACUACAGCUUGGCACUGAACAUUGACCCUACAUGUGUAGGAUAGGUGGGAGGCUUUGAAGCACGUACGCCAGUAUGUGUGGAGCCGUCCUUGAAAUACCACCCUUGUAGUGUUGAUGUUCUAACGUCGACCCCUUAUCGGGGUUGCGGACAGUGCCUGGUGGGUAGUUUGACUGGGGCGGUCUCCUCCCAAAGAGUAACGGAGGAGCACGAAGGUGGGCUAAUCACGGUUGGACAUCGUGAGGUUAGUGCAAUGGCAUAAGCCCGCUUGACUGCGAGAAUGACAAUUCGAGCAGGUGCGAAAGCAGGUCAUAGUGAUCCGGUGGUUCUGAAUGGAAGGGCCAUCGCUCAACGGAUAAAAGGUACUCCGGGGAUAACAGGCUGAUACCGCCCAAGAGUUCAUAUCGACGGCGGUGUUUGGCACCUCGAUGUCGGCUCAUCACAUCCUGGGGCUGAAGUCGGUCCCAAGGGUAUGGCUGUUCGCCAUUUAAAGUGGUACGCGAGCUGGGUUUAGAACGUCGUGAGACAGUUCGGUCCCUAUCUGCCGUGGGCGUUGGAAGAUUGAAGGGGGCUGCUCCUAGUACGAGAGGACCGGAGUGGACGAACCUCUGGUGUUCGGGUUGUGUCGCCAGACGCAUUGCCCGGUAGCUAAGUUCGGAAUCGAUAACCGCUGAAAGCAUCUAAGCGGGAAGCGAGCCCUGAGAUGAGUCUUCCCUGAUACUUUAAGUAUCCUAAAGGGUUGUCGGAGACUACGACGUUGAUAGGUCAGGUGUGUAAGUGCUGUGAGGCAUUGAGCUAACUGAUACUAAUUGCCCGUGAGGCUUAACCAUACAACACCCAAGGGGUUU
Molecule: ribosomal RNA, 1365 nt
Filed under: Vibrio parahaemolyticus
Lineage: Bacteria; Pseudomonadati; Pseudomonadota; Gammaproteobacteria; Vibrionales; Vibrionaceae
Description: bacterial LSU rRNA
Rfam family: Bacterial large subunit ribosomal RNA
Source: RNAcentral